GGUAUUAACAAAUCUUGAUAAAUAAAAUUCCGUCUUCAAAUAUAAAUAAUGUAAUAUUUUUUUUAUGACAAUUAAGUGUCUAUAGCUGCAUCUGUGACAAUAUAUGAAGCAGUAAGCUUAUACAAAGGUAGUAAAAUAAUUGAAUCAAAGUAAAAAGAACUGAAUCCAACAGCUUGGAAACCACAUCUACUUUUUCUUGUGAUUUGCACGGGUUAGGCGGAAAUUUCAUAUUGGGUCCCCUUUUCUUAGAGCUUGGUAUUCUCCCUCAGUGUUGGCUGACUGAAGUAUUCAUCAAAUUAUCAACUGCAGGAAUAAGAAAUGUAGAUACAACAAUCAGUGGAUGACCAAUAAGAAGAUGAAGUAGAUAUUGGAGGACCAAGAGGAAGAUGAAGUAGAUAUUGGGAGGAAGAUGAAGUAGAUAUUGGAGAUAUUGGUGACGAAGUAGAUAAAAAUCAUCCAUUUCUAAUUUUCUGUUUUAACUUUUUUUUCAAAACUGUUUUGUUUGUUUUGUUUGAUAGGGAUAUUUUUGGAUUGUUAUAUGAUUUUAUGAGAAUUUUUAUAAUU
Molecule: long non-coding RNA, 564 nt
Organism: Impatiens glandulifera
Lineage: Eukaryota; Viridiplantae; Streptophyta; Magnoliopsida; Ericales; Balsaminaceae
Exons: 3
Source: RefSeq, a predicted model, not a curated record